CCUACGGGAGGCUGCAGUGAGGAAUAUUGGUCAAUGGGCGCGAGCCUGAACCAGCCACGUAGCGUGAAGGAUGACUGCCCUACGGGUUGUAAACCUCUUUUAUAAAGGACUAAAGUGACGCACGCGUGCCUUUUUGUUCGUACUUUAUGCAUAAGGAUCGGCUCACUCCGUGCCAGCAGCCGCGGUAAUACGGAGGAUCCGAGCGUUAUCCGGAUUUAUUGGGGUUAAAGGGGGCGUAGAUGGGUUGUUAAGUCAGUGGUGAAAGUUUGCGGCUCAACCGUAAAAUGGCAAUUGAUACUGGAAGUCUUGAGUACAGUUGAGGUAGGCGGAAUUCGUAGUGUAGCGGUGAAAUGCUUAGAUAUCACGAAGAACUCCGGUGGCGAAGGCAGCUUACUAAGCUGCCACUGACAUUGAUGCUCGAAAGUGUGGGUAUCAAACAGGAUUAGAUACCCGAGUAGUC
RNAcentral lists this ribosomal RNA (460 nucleotides) under uncultured bacterium. RNAcentral describes it as "partial 16S ribosomal RNA". It matches the Rfam family "Bacterial small subunit ribosomal RNA", at positions 338 to 795 of the family's 1533-position model. The record is from RNAcentral.